CAGGCCUAACACAUGCAAGUCGAACGCCCCGCAAGGGGAGUGGCAGACGGGUGAGUAACGCGUGGGAAUCUACCUUUUGCUACGGGAUAGCUCCGGGAAACUGGAAUUAAUACCGUAUGUGCCCUUUGGGGGAAAGAUUUAUCGGCAAAGGAUGAGCCCGCGUUGGAUUAGCUAGUUGGUGGGGUAAAGGCCUACCAAGCCGACGAUCCAUAGCUGGUCUGAGAGGAUGAUCAGCCACACUGGGACUGAGACACGGCCCAGACUCCUACGGGAGGCAGCAGUGGGGAAUAUUGGACAAUGGGCGCAAGCCUGAUCCAGCAAUGCCGCGUGAGUGAUGAAGGCCUUAGGGUUGUAAAGCUCUUUUGUCCGGGACGAUAAUGACGGUACCGGCAGCAAUAGU
Molecule: ribosomal RNA, 400 nt
Filed under: uncultured bacterium
Lineage: Bacteria
Description: bacterial SSU rRNA
Rfam family: Bacterial small subunit ribosomal RNA
Source: RNAcentral